UACGAACCGUACAAACGUUAUUCGGAAUCACUGGUCUUAAAGGGUGCGUAGGCGGCCAUGUAAGUGGGGUGUGAAAUCCCUCGGCUCAACCGAGGAACUGCGCUCCAUACUGCAUGGCUUGAGGGAGACAGGGGUAAGCGGAACUGAUGGUGGAGCGGUGAAAUGCGUUGAUAUCAUCAGGAACACCGGUGGCGAAAGCGGCUUACUGGGUCUCUUCUGACGCUGAGGUACGAAAGCUAGGGGAGCGAACGGG
This 253-nucleotide ribosomal RNA is filed under the name uncultured bacterium. RNAcentral describes it as "partial 16S ribosomal RNA". It matches the Rfam family "Bacterial small subunit ribosomal RNA", at positions 524 to 776 of the family's 1533-position model. The record is from RNAcentral.